UUUGAUUUCAAGUGUUUUAUUAAAAAAAUCGAAAUUAAGCACUUCAAUCUAAAAAUAUUUGUGAAAAUACCAAAAUACCCCUUGUCUUUCCCCACUUUAUAACAAAGUUAUCCCCAAGUGCAAGGUAAGUUCCAUCUUAAACUCUAUCCUCUACGGAAGGAGAAAAAGGUAAAUUCAGUUUUUUUAAAAUUUUAUUUCUAUUAUUUUUUUAUUUUAUUUUGGCGGGUAUAAAAAGAGGACAAGACAGACCAAUUGGGCAAUUAGGGCUCAAAAGUUUGAAUCUCGCCAUUUCCCUCCAUUUUCUGACCAUGGCGAACUUCUGAUCUUCUCUGAUCUUCUCCGGAUUUCACCACUUCACGGCUCUAACAAUCUCAUUCUCUGAUCUUCUGAUCUUCUGAUCUUAUCGGAGCUUUAGGAACUGGCUUUUAGAUCUUCAAUGGCGAUGCUCUCGUUGUUUUCUUUUUCUCCGUUUACAGCAUUUGGUCUUCAUCUCUACUGCUUCACUGCCGAGAAUCUUCCGGUGCUGUUCCAUUUCUACCGCUACUGAUUUCAAGUAAGGCAAGGAAGUAGAAGCAGAAGAAAUCCAAGAAUCUUAAGGCGAAUACCUCUGUUUCGAAAUCAUCGGAGUCUUCUUCUUUAUCUUCGAAGUUAGCUUUGGUGAAGGAGAAAAGGACUCGCUCCACCAAGGAGUUUGAUGAGAUCACUGUCCAGUUCGGCGACACUGCUGCUCACAUCCCGGUGACGCUUUUGGAAGUAUUGGACGUAUGCUCUGCUUCUUCCGGAAGGCCGCUAUGCUCCUUUGUAGAUUGCACCGUCGGUGCAGAUAAUUCAAGCACAUCCAGAGUUGAAAUUUUACUUGCAAAUGGAAGUCAUACAAUUGCACUUCAUAAGGCCGAAGAUCGGAUUAGUGCUUUCUUCAGCGAGGAUUCUGAUUUGAAGGCAUUCGUACUUCUGAAGAACUGUAAAUACAUGAAAUCGCUACUGGCUGACUCAGACGAGAAACCUGUAGAUCCUGGAGUUGACGGAAUUUUGAUGUAUUUAGGAAUGUCAUCCAUGCAGGCUGCUUAGGUGGACGAUCCUGAAAGGGGAAUUAGUGUCUUUGGUGAUGAACCUCUUGAUAUGUGAAUGGAUCCUCAGGAUUAUGGCAGGCAAGUCUAAUGGCAGAGGACAUUCUUAACAGUUGGCCGGAAAUAGAAGUGGGACGUGAUCUUGCGGGUUUAUGGAGAAUAAAGUAACUGGUAUUCACUCCAGAAUAAGAUCGUAAAAGCUCGAUCACAGGGGGGUGGACUGCAUUCCUCCGGUGAAUUAGUUGAUCUUCUUAUCCGAAAAUCCACUUUGGGCUGAAAAGGUAUUAGAAGACGCGGCCCUGUAUACAUAUCAUUUCUAUCCACAGUUUGGAGGGUAGGGUUGUGAAGCAAACAUUUCUGGAUAUCAUAAUCCCGAAAACCGAAGGAGAUGACUGAUCUAUAGGAAGAAGAGAGGUUGAAUCGGCGCUGUAGGAAUGCUAUGCUAAGCUCAAGGUAAUUCGGAAGAAUAAUGUUUUGUCUUCUGAUGGGAAACCAGUGAGUGUGCGGACUUCAUUAUUAUGGCCAUCUGGUAGGGUGCACAUCAAGGCCAGUCAGCGAAUCUGCACAACAUCCCCUUGAAACGUUGGGAAAUGGUUUCCCAGAUAAAACUACCUGAAGGGGACACAGACGAUCAAUGUUAGUUGAUAGAGUAUGCAGCCAGCAAUGGAUAAUCAAAAACUAAUUAUUCCUCAUAAUGCAAUUGUUGCAAACGAAUGUAAAAUGCUAUUGUUCUUGUAAACUCUAUAAGUUGGAAACAAACUAAAUGGGAAUGAAAUCAGAUACCUGAGUGGAAUGAUGGUUGAAAAAUCCGGUAAUCAA
Long non-coding RNA from Cucurbita pepo subsp. pepo (vegetable marrow), 1886 nucleotides. RefSeq lists it as uncharacterized. The record is from RefSeq and is a predicted model, not a curated record. Lineage: Eukaryota; Viridiplantae; Streptophyta; Magnoliopsida; Cucurbitales; Cucurbitaceae.